This 522-nucleotide ribosomal RNA is filed under the name Euphausia similis. RNAcentral describes it as "partial 16S ribosomal RNA". It matches the Rfam family "Bacterial large subunit ribosomal RNA", at positions 1832 to 2606 of the family's 2925-position model. Lineage: Eukaryota; Metazoa; Arthropoda; Malacostraca; Euphausiacea; Euphausiidae. The record is from RNAcentral.
UUUUGAUAUAUUUAUAAAGUCUGGCCUGCCCACUGAAUUUUAAAGGGCCGCGGUAUUUUGACCGUGCAAAGGUAGCAUAAUCAUUAGUCUUUUAAUUGGAGGCUUGUAUGAAUGGUCGCACAAGAAAUAAACUGUCUUUAAUUAAAUUUAUUGAAUUUAACUUUUAAGUAAAAAGGCUUAAAUAAAUUAAAGUGACGAUAAGACCCUAUAAAACUUUAUAAAUAAAAUAAAAAAAAGAUAUUAGUUGAUUGAAACUUUUUUUUAUGGAAUUUAUUUUAUUGGGGCGAUAAAAAUAUAAUAAGUAACUGUUUUUAAUAUUAUAAUGAUUAAUAGUCAAAAUAUAAAUAAAUGAUCCUUUAAUAAAGAUUGCAAGAUUAAGUUACUUUAGGGAUAACAGCGUAAUUUUCUUUGAGAGUUCAUAUCUACAAGAAAGAUUACGACCUCGAUGUUGAAUUAAAAGAUCUUUAAGGUGUAGCAGCUUUAGUAGAAGGUCUGUUCGACCUUUAAAAUUUUACGUGAUCU